GGGCUGGUAGCUCAAUAGGUAGAGCAUUGGACUCUUAAUCCAGGGGUUGCAGGUUCGAGUCCUGUCCAGCCCA
RNAcentral lists this transfer RNA (73 nucleotides) under bacterium. RNAcentral describes it as "tRNA-Lys". It matches the Rfam family "tRNA". From Rfam's summary of the family: Transfer RNA (tRNA) molecules are approximately 80 nucleotides in length. Their secondary structure includes four short double-helical elements and three loops (D, anti-codon, and T loops). The record is from RNAcentral. RNAcentral also lists the same sequence under 3 other names.